Molecule: ribosomal RNA, 208 nt
Filed under: uncultured bacterium
Lineage: Bacteria
Description: partial 16S ribosomal RNA
Rfam family: Bacterial small subunit ribosomal RNA
Source: RNAcentral
UGCGUAGGUGGUAUGGCAAGUCAGAAGUGAAAGGCUGGGGGCUCAACCCCGGGACUGCUUUUGAAACUGUCAAACUAGAGUACAGGAGAGGAAAGCGGAAUUCCUAGUGUAGCGGUGAAAUGCGUAGAUAUUAGGAGGAACACCAGUGGCGAAGGCGGCUUUCUGGACUGAAACUGACACUGAGGCACGAAAGCGUGGGGAGCAAACA